Molecule: ribosomal RNA, 539 nt
Filed under: uncultured bacterium
Lineage: Bacteria
Description: bacterial SSU rRNA
Rfam family: Bacterial small subunit ribosomal RNA
Source: RNAcentral
GACGAACGCUGGCGGCGUGGAUUAGGCAUGCAAGUCGAACGGUAUGGACCUUUCGGGGUUCAGAGAGUGGCGAACGGGUGAGUAACACGUAGGUAAUCUACCCUCAAGACGGGGACAACCCAGGGAAACUUGGGCUAAUACCGGAUGUGUGUAGUGGCUAUUUUUCUGAUUAUCAUUAUUUACGUAAGUGAGUAAUAAUAAGAAGGGAAAGUGGUUAUUACAUAAAAGGUGGCGUAAGCUGCCGCUUGGGGAUGAGCCUGCGUCCUAUUAGUUAGUUGGUGAGGUAACGGCUUACCAAGGCGAUGAUAGGUAGGCGGCCUUAACGGGUGGUCGCCCACACUGGGAUUGAGAUACGGCCCAGACUCCUACGGGAGCAGCAGUCGAGAAUAGUCUACAAUGGACGGAAGUCUGAUAGUGCGACGCCGCGUGAACGAAGAAUCCCUUCGGGGUGUUAAAGUUCUUUUAAUACGUGAGCAGUGUCCUUUAUAUUAAUAGUAUAAGGGGAGAGAUAUUAGCGUAUGAAUAAGCAACGGCUAACG